CAUGCAGUCGAGCGGAGAUGAGGUGCUUGCACCUUAUCUUAGCGGCGGACGGGUGAGUAAUGCUUAGGAAUCUGCCUAUUAGUGGGGGACAACAUUCCGAAAGGAAUGCUAAUACCGCAUACGCCCUACGGGGGAAAGCAGGGGAUCUUCGGACCUUGCGCUAAUAGAUGAGCCUAAGUCGGAUUAGCUAGUUGGUGGGGUAAAGGCCUACCAAGGCGACGAUCUGUAGCGGGUCUGAGAGGAUGAUCCGCCACACUGGGACUGAGACACGGCCCAGACUCCUACGGGAGGCAGCAGUGGGGAAUAUUGGACAAUGGGCGGAAGCCUGAUCCAGCCAUGCCGCGUGUGUGAAGAAGGCCUUUUGGUUGUAAAGCACUUUAAGCGAGGAGGAGGCUACUUAGAUUAAUACUCUAGGAUAGUGGACGUUACUCGCAGAAUAAGCACCGGCUAACUCUGUGCCAGCAGCCGCGGUAAUACAGAGGGUGCGAGCGUUAAUCGGAUUUACUGGGCGUAAAGCGUGCGUAGGCGGCUGAUUAAGUCGGAUGUGAAAUCCCUGAGCUUAACUUAGGAAUUGCAUUCGAUACUGGUCAGCUAGAGUAUGGGAGAGGAUGGUAGAAUUCCAGGUGUAGCGGUGAAAUGCGUAGAGAUCUGGAGGAAUACCGAUGGCGAAAGCAGCCAUCUGGCCUAAUACUGACGCUGAGGUACGAAAGCAUGGGGAGCAAACAGGAUUAGAUACCCUGGUAGUCCAUGCCGUAACGAUGUCUACUAGC
RNAcentral lists this ribosomal RNA (770 nucleotides) under Acinetobacter sp. Its description in RNAcentral is "bacterial SSU rRNA". It matches the Rfam family "Bacterial small subunit ribosomal RNA", at positions 54 to 820 of the family's 1533-position model. The record is from RNAcentral. Lineage: Bacteria; Pseudomonadati; Pseudomonadota; Gammaproteobacteria; Moraxellales; Moraxellaceae.